GCAAACUUGGUCAUUUAGAGGAAGUAAAAGUCGUAACAAGGUUUCCGUAGGUGAACCUGCGGAAGGAUCAUUACCGAGUUAGGGUUCCCUUCAUCUGGGGCCCGACCUCCCAACCCUGUGUCUUAAACAAACUUGUACGUGUUGCUUCGGUGGACCGGUCUCGCGGCCGCCGGGAGGGUCUCGCCCCCCUGGACAGCGUCCACCGACAGCCCAACCCCAAAACUCCACAAACAAACCAUGUGAAUUCUUCUGAAUCAAACUUUUUGUUUUGAUAAACCACAUCAAAAUUAAAACCAAAACUUUCAACAACGGAUCUCUUGGUUCUGGCAUCGAUGAAGAACGCAGC
This 346-nucleotide unclassified non-coding RNA is filed under the name uncultured fungus. RNAcentral describes it as "partial contains small subunit ribosomal RNA, internal transcribed spacer 1, and 5.8S ribosomal RNA". The stretch from base 1 to 73 matches the Rfam family "Eukaryotic small subunit ribosomal RNA", at positions 1759 to 1831 of the family's 1831-position model. The record is from RNAcentral. Lineage: Eukaryota; Fungi.